This 1030-nucleotide long non-coding RNA is filed under the name Brassica rapa (field mustard). RNAcentral describes it as "long non-coding RNA (BRAP_LNC006868)". Lineage: Eukaryota; Viridiplantae; Streptophyta; Magnoliopsida; Brassicales; Brassicaceae. The record is from RNAcentral.
UAACAUUAGGCAGGAACUUAAAGUUCGACUCCAAGCGCAUGCAAAAUUUCUGUGCUUCGCCAUCGAUCGAUAUGGAGUGGAUUACAUUGAUCGAUUCUCGGCGAUUAACAUCAAUCAAUAUGGAGAGGAUUACAUCGAUUGAUGUGUAGUACGGAUAGGUACUUCAUUUUUACUCUAACAUUCUCAAACAUCUAACUUGCUUUUAACCUACCCUUGGGCACUUUGCACCGAGGCGGUGCAAUUUAAGUAUGGGGUAGGUAGUUACUAACACCACUUUCUUGAGUUUUUGUCAAAAAAAAAAUCUUUUCAAAAAUAAUUUUAUUGAGUCAAGAAGGGGAUUAUGAACUAAUAAUUUCUACUUGAAUGUCUAACCACUUUCUAGCACCAUUCUAGAUUUACUGAUUGCAGAUAAUAUUAUAGAUGGUAAAGUGGAUCAACCAGUCAACUAUACACACUUACUAGCUUGUUAGAAAGAACCAAAGCUAACCUCCACCACUAACCUUACUUCACUGCUUGUCUUGGGGUUUGGUAUACAUGGGAUCGGAUUCUUCAAACAAGUCUGGAAGGUAAAGCCUUGUGUAGAAUUAUAUAUCACAUUCCUCUCUCUAAUUUUAACCCUAGAUUAGUUAGUAAUUAAUAUUUCUAUUCUAGAUAUCAAAAAAAAAAAAAAAAAAGAUCUAUUGUUUAAUUAGGAUGAGUCUGAAUAGGACUUGGUGUGUAAAACCAUUAAGGCUUGAUUCAUAAAAGACUCCAAUAAAAGAGUUCGAAACGGGACUUGGAGGUGGCAAUCUUCAAGGCUCGCUUUCACAAACAAUUCUUGGAUAUAGGUCAAAAAGAAGUGAACAGAGCUUGAUGGCAACCACCAUUAAGUUUUGAUUCAUGGAAGCCUGUCAAAUCUUGGUCACUGAUCCUGCAAUGGAAGCAGACUUUGACUCAAGAGAGAAAUUAGGAACUAACUUUUACCUGCAGUUCCAGAUACUUGUCUGAAAUCCUUGCAUCUUUUGAUCGAUACUCUCAAGGUAAAGCUUAC